Molecule: ribosomal RNA, 254 nt
Filed under: uncultured bacterium
Lineage: Bacteria
Description: partial 16S ribosomal RNA
Rfam family: Bacterial small subunit ribosomal RNA
Source: RNAcentral
UACGUAGGGGGCGAGCGUUGUCCGGAUUCAUUGGGCGUAAAGAGCUCGUAGGCGGCUCGGUAAGUCGGGUGUGAAACCUCCAGGCUCAACCUGGAGACGCCACCUGAUACUGCUGUGGCUAGAGUCCGGUAGGGGAGUGUGGAACUCCUGGUGUAGCGGUGAAAUGCGCAGAUAUCAGGAAGAACACCAGCGGCGAAGGCGGCACUCUGGGCCGGAACUGACGCUGAGGAGCGAAAGCGUGGGUAGCAAACAGG